AUUCCUAGUGAUUAGAGUUUGAUCAUGGCUCAGGAUGAACGCUAGCGGCAGGCUUAAUACAUGCAAGUCGAGGGGCAGCACGGGUAGCAAUAUCUGGUGGCGACCGGCGCACGGGUGCGUAACACGUAUACAAUCUACCCUUAACAGGGGGAUAGCCCUCCGAAAGGAGGAUUAAUACCCCAUAAUAAAUUGAAUGGCAUCAUUUGAUUUUGAAAGUUCCGACGGUUAAGGAUGAGUAUGCGUCUGAUUAGCUAGUUGGUGAGGUAAAGGCUCACCAAGGCAACGAUCAGUAGGGGAUCUGAGAGGACUACCCCCCACACUGGUACUGAGACACGGACCAGACUCCUACGGGAGGCAGCAGUAAGGAAUAUUGGUCAAUGGAGGCAACUCUGAACCAGCCAUGCCGCGUGCAGGAAGACGGCCCUAUGGGUUGUAAACUGCUUUUGUACGGGAGAAAACCCUUUCACGUGUGAGAGGUUGAUAGUACCGUAAGAAUAAGCAUCGGCUAACUUCGUGCCAGCAGCCGCGGUAAGACGAAGGAUGCAAGCGUUAUCCGGAUUCAUUGGGUUUAAAGGGAGCGUAGGUGGACUUGUAAGUCAGUGGUGAAAUCUCUCAGCUUAACUGAGAAACUGCCAUUGAUACUGCAGGUCUUGAGUACAGAUGAUGUGGGCGGAAUAUGACAUGUAGUGGUGAAAUACUUAGAUAUGUCAUAGAACACCGAUUGCGAAGGCAGCUCACAAAACUGUAACUGACACUGAGGCUCGAAAGUGCGGGGAUCAAACAGGAUUAGAUACCCUGGCAGUCCGCACCGUAAACGAUGAUUACUCGUUGUUAGCGAUAUGACAGUUAGCGACCAAGCGAAAGCGAUAAGUAAUCCACCUGGGGAGUACGCCGGCAACGGUGAAACUCAAAGGAAUUGACGGGGGCCCGCACAAGCGGAGGAGCAUGUGGUUUAAUUCGAUGAUACGCGAGGAACCUUACCUGGGCUUGAAAGUUAGUGACCGUCUCUGAAAGGAGAUUUUCCGCAAGGACACGAAACUAGGUGCUGCAUGGCUGUCGUCAGCUCGUGCCGUGGGGUGUUGGGUUAAGUCCCGCAACGAGCGCAACCCCUACCAUUAGUUACCAGCGAGUAAUGUCGGGAACUCUAAUGGAACUGCCCGUGCAAACGGUGAGGAAGGUGGGGAUGACGUCAAGUCAUCACGGCCCUUACGUCCAGGGCUACACACGUGCUACAAUGGCCGGUACAACGGGCAGCUACACAGCGAUGUGAUGCUAAUCUCUAAAAACCGGUCUCAGUUCGGAUUGAAGUCUGCAACUCGACUUCAUGAAGCUGGAUUCGCUAGUAAUCGCGCAUCAGCAAUGGCGCGGUGAAUACGUUCCCGGGCCUUGUAGACACCGC
Molecule: ribosomal RNA, 1399 nt
Filed under: uncultured bacterium
Lineage: Bacteria
Description: bacterial SSU rRNA
Rfam family: Bacterial small subunit ribosomal RNA
Source: RNAcentral